RNAcentral lists this ribosomal RNA (292 nucleotides) under uncultured bacterium. RNAcentral's name for it is "partial 16S ribosomal RNA". The record is from RNAcentral.
GGACUACUGGGGUAUCUAAUCCUGUUUGCUCCCCACGCUUUCGUGUUUCAACGUCAGAAAUGGACCAAGAAGCUGCCUUCGCCAUUGGUGUUCCUCUCGAGAUCUACGCAUUUUACCGCUACUCCGAGAAUUCCGCUUCUCUCUUCCACCCUCUAGCACGCCAGUUUCUACUGCUUGCCUCCGGUUAGGCCGGAGAAUUUAACAAUUGACUUAACAUGCCGUCUACACACCCUUUACGCCCAAUAAAUCCGAAUAACGCUUGCACCACUCGUAUUACCGCGGCUGCUGGCAC